ACCCGCUGAACUUAAGCAUAUCAAUAAGCGGAGGAAAAGAAACCAACAGGGAUUGCCCUAGUAACGGCGAGUGAAGCGGCAAGAGCUCAAAUUUGAAAUCUGGCCCCCCCGGGGUCCGAGUUGUAAUUUGCAGAGGGUGCUUCGGCGUUGGCUGUGGUCUAAGUUCCUUGGAACAGGACGUCGCAGAGGGUGAGAAUCCCGUAUGUGGCCGCCAGCCUCCGCCGUGUGAAGCCCCUUCGACGAGUCGAGUUGUUUGGGAAUGCAGCUCUAAAUGGGAGGUAAAUUUCUUCUAAAGCUAAAUACUGGCCAGAGACCGAUAGCGCACAAGUAGAGUGAUCGAAAGAUGAAAAGCACUUUGGAAAGAGAGUCAAAAAGCACGUGAAAUUGUUGAAAGGGAAGCGCUUGCAGCCAGACUUGCCUGUAGUUGCUCAUCCGGGCCCUCGCCCGGUGCACUCUUCUAUGGGCAGGCCAGCAUCAGUCCGGGCGGUCGGAGAAAUGGCCGCUAAAUGUACCUCUCCUCGGGGAGGACUUAUAGGGCGGUCGGCAUGCGACCAGCCCGGACUGAGGUCCGCGCAUCUGCUAGGAUGCUGGCGUAAUGGCUGU
This 603-nucleotide ribosomal RNA is filed under the name uncultured fungus. Its description in RNAcentral is "eukaryotic LSU rRNA". It matches the Rfam family "Eukaryotic large subunit ribosomal RNA", at positions 23 to 641 of the family's 3401-position model. The record is from RNAcentral. Lineage: Eukaryota; Fungi.